This 415-nucleotide small RNA is filed under the name Rattus norvegicus (Norway rat). RNAcentral's name for it is "uncharacterized LOC108350620". Lineage: Eukaryota; Metazoa; Chordata; Mammalia; Rodentia; Muridae. The record is from RNAcentral.
CUUAGCAACAGGAGGCUGUAAAUGACAUUGCUCUUGACACUUUAACUUAGCCCUCCAUGGCAAGCAGAGGAUAAUGAAGGCCUAGGCAGACAGCAAGACAGAAUUCAAAACCAGCGGCGAGCAAGUACAGGAGAAAGGUCACACAGGAGCCGUGGAAACAGGAGGUUGGCUAAUCUAGUCGGCCAAUUCACUCCAGGAGACUCCUGUCCUGGCCUAUCCGAGUCCUGGGAUUACAGUGCAAGUACAUCCCUGACAUCCCCUAGGACACACUUACAAUAAAAUCGUCAUGAUGUUUACCUGACACUCAAAUUUAACUGAGCAUCCGGAUUCUGUCUGGCAAAGCAUCUUGGGUAGUCUUGCAGCAGAGGCUUAGAGUCGCAUUUCAAGUGGGGAACCCGGAAGGUCGUGAUGGGGA